RNAcentral lists this ribosomal RNA (899 nucleotides) under Thermotogaceae bacterium enrichment culture clone LB1_12. RNAcentral's name for it is "bacterial SSU rRNA". It matches the Rfam family "Bacterial small subunit ribosomal RNA", at positions 8 to 916 of the family's 1533-position model. Lineage: Bacteria; Thermotogati; Thermotogota; Thermotogae; Thermotogales; Thermotogaceae. The record is from RNAcentral.
AGAGUUUGAUCAUGGCUCAGGGUGAACGCUGGCGGCGUGCUUGACACAUGCAAGUCGAACGGUAUGUGGCAACACAUAGAGUGGCGAACGGGUGAGUAACACGUGGGAACGUAUCUUUUGCAGGGGGAUAACUGACCGAAAGGACAGCUAAUACCGCAUAAGUCCGAGAGGAGAAAGGUGCAACAGCAUCGGCAGAAGAGCGGCCCGCGGUCCAUCAGCUAGUUGGUGAGGUAAGGGCUUACCAAGGCGACGACGGAUAGCCGGCGUGAGAGCGUGGCCGGCCACAAGGACACUGAGAUACGGGUCCUACUCCUACGGGAGGCAGCAGUGCGGAAUUUUAGAUAAUGGAGGGAACUCUGAUCUAGCGACGCCGCGUGCAGGAAGAAGGUCUUCGGAUUGUAAACUGCUGUGGUAAGGGAAAAAUGCUAUGUAGAGUGGAAAGCUACAUAGAGGGAUGGUACCUUACUAGAAAGCCCCGGCUAACUACGUGCCAGCAGCCGCGGUAAUACGUAGGGGGCGAGCGUUACCCGGAAUCACUGGGCGUAAAGGGAGCGUAGGUGGCCUAACAUGUCAACUGUGAAAACCCGGAGCUCAACUCCGGACUUGCAGUUGAAACUGGUAGGCUUGAGGACGGUAGAGGAAGACGGAACUGCCAGUGUAGGGGUAAAAUCCUUAGAUAUUGGCAGGAACGCCGGUGACGAAGGUGGUUUUCUGGGCCGGUUCUGACACUGAUGCUCGAAAGCCAGGGGAGCGAACGGGAUUAGAUACCCCGGUAGUCCUGGCCCUAAACGAUGUUCACUAGGUGUGGGGAGCGGAAAGCUCUCCGUGCUAAAGCUAACGCGAUAAGUGAACCGCCUGGGGAGUACGCCCGCAAGGGUGAAACUCAAAUGAAUUGACGG